AUCAAAGAAGAAGAGAUGACACUUAGAUCUGCCUUUUAUUUGUUGACUUUGUGGUGAUGCAGAAUCUCUUAUCAUUACAAAAAAUUGAAUCAGCCUGGUGGAAUAUCAGUUUCUCCCUUGUUGGGUUGCACUUUUACCUGGAAUGAAGCAGCAAUAUCACAAUAUUAUAGCUAAUUGUAUAUUAGUUGGUAAGUGAUCUUUUUUUUUGCCCCUAACACUAAUUCAUGACGUGUAGAAUUUGAUAGCUUCAUUAUUUUCUGAUGAUGAGUGUGCCGCCAUGUUCCAGCUGUAUAUUUAAUAACAUUGUAUAGACUAGUUUAAUGUGUUA
This 328-nucleotide unclassified non-coding RNA is filed under the name Hevea brasiliensis (rubber tree). The record is from RNAcentral. Lineage: Eukaryota; Viridiplantae; Streptophyta; Magnoliopsida; Malpighiales; Euphorbiaceae.